AGGUCCUUGUGGUGCCUCUCUGGACUUGGCUGCAGGCAGAGGUACGGGGUGGGUGGGAGUCUCUCUUGCCAGUUGAUUUGUGCUAGGACCCUCGAGAAGAGACUAUUCGGAAAUGUCCAAGAGACGCUCAUCUGCUGCGUGUCAGGGAAGAGGUGGUUCCACUGAGGCUCCUCUUGCAAGGGCAGGGGGCACUGGGGAUGAUCUUACGGAACCAAGUGGCGGAGGCUCAAAAAGAGUUUUGGAACCACCGCAUUCGAACAAAUAAUCACAGAGAAAGCAGGCGGCUCUAUUCUGUGCCAGAGGAGAAGUGAUUGGCUGGGAAGACACACCUGCACUCUUCAUGCUAAUCCAGUGGCUUCUUCCAUGGCAUAAAAAAAG
Podarcis muralis (Common wall lizard) is the source of this 378-nucleotide long non-coding RNA. RefSeq lists it as uncharacterized. The record is from RefSeq and is a predicted model, not a curated record. Lineage: Eukaryota; Metazoa; Chordata; Lepidosauria; Squamata; Lacertidae.